This is a long non-coding RNA of Prionailurus viverrinus (fishing cat), 2811 nucleotides long. RefSeq lists it as uncharacterized. The transcript is spliced from 3 exons. The record is from RefSeq and is a predicted model, not a curated record. NCBI's taxonomy places the organism in Eukaryota, Metazoa, Chordata, Mammalia, Carnivora, Felidae.
CGCGCUAUCGGAAAGCCCGCCCCCUAACGGCGCACGUAAAGGCGGAAGCGGUCGGGUAGCCGCCAUCUUGGGAAGGUCGCGAAAAUUCCGCCUACCUCCUCAAAGCAGGGUUUGCAACUUCAGCGACUGGAAUCGUCUGCGAAGACAGGCAGAGAGUGAAGCCCAGAGAUUCUGAUUUAAUUGGUCUGGGGUAUGUCCUACGCAUCGAGACUUUUAAAUUCCGCAGAAAAAUCCAUCUGACUGAAAGGUGGAGGAUGGAUUAGAUGGGUCCAGAUGGGAGGCAGAAACACCUGUUGGGAGGCUUCUGUGAACAGGUAAGUGGGAGAUGACGGUUGCCUGUGGUGAGUGGCAGCGGGGCACCAGCCCGACACAAAGGCUUUGGAGGCAGGCCUGCCUGUCUGCAGAGCCAAAGGGCUUGAGUUUCAGUUCUCCCACUACUGAAUAAGGUGAGACUUUGGGCAAGUUACUCAAUCUCUACCAGCCUCAGUCUUGUCAUCUAUAAAAUGGAGAUAAGAUUGGAUGGAAUGUGUCCAAAGUGCAUACCCACUCAGAAAGCACCCGCUAAUCUUAGCUAUGAUCAUUAUUAGGUAUGAGCAGUAGAGAUGGAAGAAGUAAUUCAAGAGAUAUUGAAGAAGUGGAAUGUGAGGGUUGAGGACAGGGACAAGCCAAAGAUGACCCUCAGGCUUUGGGCUAACCUCCUAUGUGCACAUGAUGCUAACACUUAGCUUAGAGAGGCCCAGAGGAAGACAGGCCAGGACUAAAUGAGCCCGAGGAGCCUGGUGAGGGAGCAAAGAGAGGUCAGGUAGACCACUACAUAUCUGGGUCUGGAACUUAAAAGAGUGAUCCUAGCAAUGUGGGACUCCUAAACUGUGGAGUAAGAUGGCCCCUGACAACCCAGGACUCCUUGUAUCCAUGGAAUCUGGGCCGGCCUGUGGCAGCCUUUAAUGCAGCGGAAGUCAGCUGCACCAGGUCCAGGGCUAAGCUUUAAGAAGACCUGGCAGCUUCCACUCUUGCUUUGGGGACCCCUAAGGUCUCAUGUGGGAAAUCAGCCUCUCUGCUGUGGACAUCAUCUGGAGAGAGAAGCUUGGGCAUGGAGAAAGGGAGGUCCAGCCAUCCCAGCAUUCCAGCUGUUGCCCCUGGAGUGGGAGACAAGCAAGCCAGCCAUCAUGGACAUUCCAGCUCCAGUUACCUUCUGACUGUGGCCACAAGAGACACCCCCAACUAAGACAGCAGAGCUGUCCAGAGUUACACCUAUUGACCUGGGUGAAUCUCACAAGCAUAACCUUGAGGAGGGAAGGUUGCUGAACACUAUACCUAGGAGGACAGUAUUUAUAUAAAGUUUUAAAACAUGCAAAUAUUAAAAAACUCUUAAAACUCAGUAAUAAAAAGACAAAUAACCCAAUUAACCAAUGGUUAAAGGAUCUUGGAGUGGAUUGAAUGGUGUCCCCCCCAAAAUUCAUGUUCACCUGGAACCUCAGAAUUUGGCCUUAUUUGGAAAUAAGGUCUUUGCAGAUAAAAUUAGUUAAAUUGAAGCCAGGUGGGUCAAGAUGAAAUGAAGUAGAUUAGGGUGGGCCCUAAAUCCAGUGACAGAUGUCCGUACAAGAAGAGGAGAGGCCUCAGACAUACACAGGGGAGAACUCCAGGUGAAGACAGAGGCAGAUUGGAGCUAUGUGUCUACAAGUCAAGCACACAAAGUUCACAUAACAGGAAACCGUUUUAACCACUUGAAAGUGUACAGUUGAGCAGGUUUUAUAUAUUCUCAGUAUUGUGCAACCAUCACCGCUAUCUAAUUCCAGCACUUUUUCAUCACCCCAAAAAGAAAACUUGGGGGACGGGGGAAAAAAAAAAAAAAAAGAAAACUUGUACCCAUUAAUAGCCUCUCCCAAUUCUGCCUUCCUCCUGUCUCCUGGCAACCCCUAAUCCACUCUCUGUCUAUAGAUUUGACAUUUCAUACAAUAUGUGAGCUUUUGUGUCUGGCUUCUUCUACUUAGUGUAGUGUUUUCAAGGUGCAUCCACAUUGUAGCCUGUAUCCGUGCUUCAUUCCUUUUUAUCACUAAAUAAUACUUCAUUUUAUGGAUAUACCACAUUUUAGUUUAUCCACACAUCAAUUAAUGGAUACUGAGUUGUUUCCACUUUUUGGCUAUCACAAAUAAUGCUGCUCUGAACACUCUUGUAUGAUUUCUUUUUUGAGGUGAUGAACAUGUUCUAAAGUCAAUUGUGGCAAUAGUCACGCGACUUCGUGGUUAUGCUAAAAGCCAUUGAACUGUACACUUUAAAUAGUGCAUGUAAAUAUCUCAAUAAAAUUGUUACUCCCCAGAAUGCAAAAAAAAUAUAUUGUUCUGAGAUGUACACAUACACAGUAAAUAUUUAUGGAAAUACAGGGAAACAUACCACACUUAGGAAAGCGGUUGUCUCUGGGGAGAAAGGAAGGAGACGUGGCUGGGGACAGGCACCGGGGGCCUCAGCUGCAGGGUCAGGUUUUAUUUCCUAAGCUGGAUGGUGGAGACAUGGGUGUUCAUUACAUUAGUCUUUAAACUUUUUGCGUGAUCGAAAAAUUACACAUUUAAACAUAAUUUUUUAGCAGGAAAGAAUGAGAUAAAUAGGAUAUUUGCAAGAUGCAAAAAUCACCACAUACAACAAAGAGAGAAGAAAUAUAUUAUCUUUUUCAUGGAGAGAUCUGGCAAUCCUCCUGGACAAACUCAGCCAUCACUGAUAGGAACCAACCUGACGUUAUUUGCCUCCCAGUACAAUGGUAUUAACAGCAUCACCUAUAAAGUAUUCUUCUCUACGGGUGCCUGGGUGGCUCAGUGG